GUGGGUGUAGUUUAAUGGCAGAACGCGAGCUUCCCAAGCUUGCAGCGCGAGUUCGAUUCUCGUCACCCGCUCCA
Molecule: transfer RNA, 74 nt
Filed under: Mogibacterium sp.
Lineage: Bacteria; Bacillati; Bacillota; Clostridia; Peptostreptococcales; Anaerovoracaceae
Also listed under: 1 other name
Description: tRNA-Gly
Rfam family: tRNA
About the family: Transfer RNA (tRNA) molecules are approximately 80 nucleotides in length. Their secondary structure includes four short double-helical elements and three loops (D, anti-codon, and T loops).
Source: RNAcentral